CGCGUAGGCGGGUCGCCAAGUCUGGGGUGAAAUCUUUCGGCUUAACCGGAAAAUAGCCCUGGAUACUGGCGAUCUCGAGGGAGGUAGGGGCAUGUGGAACUUCCGGUGGAGCGGUGAAAUGCGUUGAUAUCGGAAGGAACGCCGGUGGCGAAAGCGACGUGCUGGACCUCUACUGACGCUGAGGCGCGAAAGCCAGGGGGAGCAAACGGGAUUAGAUACCCCGGUAGUCCUGGCCCUAAACGAUGGGUACUAGGUUGUGGACUAGACAUGGGUUCACAGCCGAAGCAAAAGUGCUAAGUACCCCGCCUGGGGAGUAUGGUCGCAAGGCUGAA
Molecule: ribosomal RNA, 332 nt
Filed under: uncultured bacterium
Lineage: Bacteria
Description: bacterial SSU rRNA
Rfam family: Bacterial small subunit ribosomal RNA
Source: RNAcentral